UGGUGGAGUGAUUUGUCUGGUUAAUUCCGUUAACGAACGAGACCUUAACCUACUAAAUAGUCGGAAGAAUCAGUUGAUUCGACAACGACUUCUUAGAGGGACAUCGCGUGUCUAACGCGAGGAAGUGUGAGGCAAUAACA
Molecule: ribosomal RNA, 140 nt
Filed under: uncultured eukaryote
Lineage: Eukaryota
Description: partial 18S ribosomal RNA
Rfam family: Eukaryotic small subunit ribosomal RNA
Source: RNAcentral